RNAcentral lists this long non-coding RNA (2645 nucleotides) under Nicotiana benthamiana. RNAcentral's name for it is "long non-coding RNA (NBEN_LNC017968)". The record is from RNAcentral. Lineage: Eukaryota; Viridiplantae; Streptophyta; Magnoliopsida; Solanales; Solanaceae.
AUAUUUUUUCCUAUUAUCUAUUUAACUCCUCUCUCUACUCUCCCCUUUCUCACAGAACCAACCACCCAUCGCCGCCCAGCUUCGCCGCAGGAAAUCGCCCACUGGCGGCGGCCGUCCUCCAAACACCCUCAAAUUACACCAUUCUUUUCCUCUCCUCACCCACCAAAACUUGACAAACCCAAACCCUGGUCGCGCUGCCGCCUCUGCCCCGCCGCGCGCCACCGCCCAAAGCCCCUCAAAAUUUCACUAGCUCCUCCUAACCUCCUGCUCUUUCCUAUUCCAUACCCUAAAAUCCUCAAAACCCUCUCCCUCACCUCAUGCUACUACCUCUGUCGCCACCACCACAGCUCGCCACCGCAUCGGCCAACCUAGACCAUCAGUAGCCCUUCAUUUUUAGACUAUUCCUGACCAAGAAUGUUCGUUUCUCCUUAGCACAAUGCUAGAACUCAUUUGUUUUGGCGUGUUCUAGAAAGAAACGCCCGUUCAAGGUUAGGCUGUCAUGGCUUGUCUUCAUGGGCAUCUCCUCGUUUGAUUUGGCAUCGGCUUCCAUCGUUUGGUAUAACCCUAUUCCCUCUUUCCUUUCUUUUUCUUUUUUUCUUUCUUCUCUCUUCUUCUUCUCUGAUUCUCCGUGUGUAUUUUUCAUUAGGUUUAGGGAUUAAUCAUAGUCAUGAUUUUGUUAGUCGUAUUAUCAGUGUAUGUUAAUUCAGUAAUUCGUUGUUAUUCUGGAAUCAUAUGUUUCUUCAUAUCUUUAAAUUAGUUUUUUUGACCUUGCCGGUCGAUUAGCUUGUAUAUAGUUCGUCAGUUUUGAUUUUUGAUUCUUCGACCUAGCUGGUCAACUAUUUCAUAAGCAUUUGUUAUCUUUCUUCUCUCUUCUUCUCUGAUUUUCAUGUGUAUUUUUAUUACGUUUCGAGAUUAAUCGUUAGUCAUGAUUCUAUUAGUCGUAUUAUCAGUGUAUGUUAUUUUAGUAAUUCAUUGUUAUUCUGGAAUCAUAUAUUUAUUCAUAUGUUUUAAUUAUAUUUUUUUUACCUUGUCAUUUGAUUAGUUCGUAUAUAGUUCGUCAUUUAUGAUUUUUGAUUCUUCGACCUAGCUGGUCGACUAUGUCAUAUGCAUUUAUUCUUGCUAAACUUUUAGUUUUAUCGACCUAAACGGUCGAUUGUUUGUUUGCUCGUGCUUGUUACUCUUGGAUAUUUGUUUCUCGACCUAGCCGGUCGAUUAUUUUGUCGUUUGUUUGAAUAUUAAGUUAGUCACGACUACAAAUGAUGGAUUCAAUUCAAAUUGUUGAAUUGUUUAAUUCACCGGGUUAGUCGGUUCAUUGAAUGAUUUGUUAAGCUUGACCUUAUCUUCCUUUGUGCAUGAUUUGAGUUUGAGUUUUCAGCUUAAAUAAGUCAUGUAUUGGUUAAAAACUGAAGUAGUGAGAAAUACACGAGUAUAGGGUACUUGUUUGGUUGCUUUUACUGUUUAAAAGGCUGUUUGGAGUACACUGCUCUUAGCACUGUUCGUAGUUGGGGAGGAACUAUCUUACAGACAGAUUUUUGACCAAAAAAUAUGUCCUUUGAUCAGUUGGGACAGAUUUUAGGUGGAAAAUCCGUCCUUUCGAUAGAUUGAAUGAAAUAAUUCAAUCCCUCUCCUUUCCUGUAAAGGAAAAGGUCUUUCCUCAUUUAAAGAUGGGGGGAAGACAAGCUAUCUUACAUUAGAACAGAUAGCUUCUGAAAAUCUUUAACACUGAGAAAAAUACAAAAACUUUGAGAAACAUCAGCAGCUAAAACAACGAAAAGUGAGCUGAAAAACUGAAAGUUUGCAAGUUCUUUCUUCCUUUCCUAAGUCGGUGAGCUUUUGGUCUGGGUUUCUAAGUCACUUCGGAUCUAAAAGACUAUUGUUCGAUUGUUGUUUCAUUUGGCUGGAGUUUGGUUUGCUGGUUCCCUGCUCUGCUGUCUGUUUUUCUUCUAUUUUCUGCAAAUUAGGUAUUUUUUAGCUCUCUAAUUUAGCUUUUAGCUGCAUAAAGCUAUUGCAAUGAAUGUGUUGAUAUGUUAUUAUUGUUACUUUAUAUUUGUGUUUGAUGUUUUGCUCAUAAAUGGAUGAAUGAAUGUUCAACUUCAUGAAUAUGUGCUCUGUUUCUCUUUUAAGUUUCAGCUCUCCUAAACUCAAAAGUUGUACAUGAUUGAAGCUAUGGUGACAGAUUUGUGGCAUAGUUCAGUUGAGGAGCAAGUAAAUAUAAGACACAUUUGAAAUCCUCUGAUAGUUGAUAGCUUAGAUAAAUGUUGAGUUUUUAAGUCGAAGAUGUGUGUAUGGUAGAGUUUAAUCUUAAGAGCAGUUGUACUGAUAUUCUUUGGUUCAAGUUUCUUUUUUGUUUUGAUUAUGAAUUUGUACUAGUUUGCUCUAGUUUUCUUUUAAGGGUUUUUUUCUCUUUUCUUUAAGUUUGACAUAAAUAUUGUUCUCUUAUAUUUUCAUUUGCGUUAGCAGAGUUUUUGCAAAUAAGUUCCAAUACAUGUUAAAGUGCUUGAGUAGAUAACGCUUUUUUUUUUUGUUUAUUUAUUCGUUCUCUAAUUCGAGUAUAAGAAUGAAUACUUAGAAGUUCCUCCUUAGUUUUAAUAUCUUUUAAAAGGUUGUUAAAAUAUAUUUUAGCUUGAAAGGUUGUGUAUCAUUGU